RNAcentral lists this non-coding RNA (27 nucleotides) under Cricetulus griseus (Chinese hamster). Lineage: Eukaryota; Metazoa; Chordata; Mammalia; Rodentia; Cricetidae. The record is from RNAcentral.
AGUUCUCCCGUGAGAGGGUCAUUGCGG